GACGUUAGCUGCAGAAGAAGCACCGGCUAACUCCGUGCCAGCAGCCGCGGUAAUACGGAGGGUGCGAGCGUUAAUCGGAAUUACUGGGCGUAAAGCGCAUGCAGGUGGUUGUUAAGUCAGAUGUGAAAGCCCGGGGCUCAACCUCGGAAUUGCAUUUGAAACUGGCAAACUAGAGUACUGUAGAGGGGGUAGAAUUUCAGGUGUAGCGGUGAAAUGCGUAGAGAUCUGAAGGAAUACCGGUGGCGAAGGCGGCCCCCUGGACAGAUACUGACACUCAGAUGCGAAAGCGUGGGGAGCAAACAGGAUUAGAUACCCUGGUAG
RNAcentral lists this ribosomal RNA (321 nucleotides) under uncultured bacterium. Its description in RNAcentral is "bacterial SSU rRNA". It matches the Rfam family "Bacterial small subunit ribosomal RNA", at positions 471 to 793 of the family's 1533-position model. The record is from RNAcentral.